CAUGUAUCAACUUUUAUUUUGUUGAUUUAGAAUUAUAAAGUUGAAAGCAAUUCAUGUAUUUUGGAGAAUGACAAAAAUGUAAUGAAUUAUGGUUGAUUGGAAAGAGAAUGUAAUAGUUUUAGUUUACUAGUAUUUCGCCUAGUGAUGAUUGGGUCUACGCUUGCGAGCGAGAGACGCCGUGUGUAGUUGAGACAGGUUUAGGCGGUAGGCCAUGUAGGAUUGGUG
Molecule: long non-coding RNA, 225 nt
Filed under: Ananas comosus (pineapple)
Lineage: Eukaryota; Viridiplantae; Streptophyta; Magnoliopsida; Poales; Bromeliaceae
Description: long non-coding RNA (ACOM_LNC041936)
Source: RNAcentral